AGAGUUUGAUCAUGGCUCAGAUUGAACGCUGGCGGAAUGCUUUACACAUGCAAGUCGAACGGCAGCACGGGGCAACCUGGUGGCGAGUGGCGAACGGGCGAGUAAUACAUCGGAACGUGCCCAAUCGUGGGGGAUAACGUAGCGAAAGUUACGCUAAUACCGCAUACGAUCUACGGAUGAAAGCGGGGGAUCGCAAGACCUCGCGCGAGUGGAGCGGCCGAUGUCAGAUUAGGUAGUUGGUGGGGUAAAGGCUCACCAAGCCAACGAUCUGUAGCUGGUCUGAGAGGACGACCAGCCACACUGGAACUGAGACACGGUCCAGACUCCUACGGGAGGCAGCAGUGGGGAAUUUUGGACAAUGGGCGCAAGCCUGAUCCAGCCAUUCCGCGUGCAGGAUGAAGGCCUUCGGGUUGUAAACUGCUUUUGUACGGAACGAAACGGCGAGCUCUAAUACAGUUUGCUAAUGACGGUACCGUAAGAAUAAGCACCGGCUAACUACGUG
RNAcentral lists this ribosomal RNA (502 nucleotides) under uncultured bacterium. Its description in RNAcentral is "bacterial SSU rRNA". It matches the Rfam family "Bacterial small subunit ribosomal RNA", at positions 8 to 507 of the family's 1533-position model. The record is from RNAcentral.